CCCUUAGAUGUUCUGGGCCGCACGCGUGCUACACUGAGUGGAUCAGCGGGUUAGGUUGCGCGAAAGUGUUUCCUAAUCUUUAAAUCCGCUCGUGAUGGGGAUUGACGGUUGCAAUUUUCCGUCAUGAACGAGGAAUACCUUGUAAGCGCGGGUCAUCAUCCCGCGCUGAAUACGUCCCUGCCCUUUGUACACACCGCCCGUCGCUCCUACCGAUUGAGUGGUCCGGUGAGGCUUUGGGAUCUGAGCGGAAAGAGCGUUUCGCUGUUUCUGCCCGGAAAACUCAGUCGAACCUUAUCAUUUAGAGGAAGGAGAAGUCGUAACA
RNAcentral lists this ribosomal RNA (322 nucleotides) under uncultured eukaryote. RNAcentral's name for it is "partial 18S ribosomal RNA". It matches the Rfam family "Eukaryotic small subunit ribosomal RNA", at positions 1470 to 1796 of the family's 1831-position model. The record is from RNAcentral.